Molecule: ribosomal RNA, 229 nt
Filed under: uncultured bacterium
Lineage: Bacteria
Description: partial 16S ribosomal RNA
Rfam family: Bacterial small subunit ribosomal RNA
Source: RNAcentral
UGCGUAGGCGGAUAUAUAAGUCAGUGGUGAAAUCUCUCGGCUCAACCGGGAAACUGCCAUUGAUACUGUUAGUCUUGAGUUCGGUUGAGGUAGGCGGAAUGUGUAAUGUAGCGGUGAAAUGCUUAGAUAUUACACAGAACACCAAUUGCGUAGGCAGCUUACUAGACCGACACUGACGCUGAGGCACGAAAGCGUGGGGAGCGAACAGGAUUAGAUACCCUGGUAGUCC